RNAcentral lists this ribosomal RNA (450 nucleotides) under uncultured bacterium. Its description in RNAcentral is "bacterial SSU rRNA". It matches the Rfam family "Bacterial small subunit ribosomal RNA", at positions 354 to 796 of the family's 1533-position model. The record is from RNAcentral.
GUGGGGAAUUUUUCGCAAUGGGGGAAACCCUGACGAAGCAACGCCGCGUGGAGGAUGAAGGCCUUCGGGUCGUAAACUCCUGUCGACCGGGAAGAAUGCACCCGACCUAAUACGUCGAAGUGUUGACUGUACCGGUGGAGGAAGCCACGGCUAACUCUGUGCCAGCAGCCGCGGUAAUACAGAGGUGGCAAGCGUUGUUCGGAAUUACUGGGCGUAAAGGGCGCGUAGGCGGCCCGCCAAGUCCCGUGUGAAAGCCCCCGGCUCAACCGGGGAACGGCGCGGGAAACUAGCAGGCUUGAGUUCGGGAGAGGGAAGCGGAAUUCCGGGUGUAGCGGUGAAAUGCGCAGAUAUCCGGAGGAACACCGGUGGCGAAGGCGGCUUCCUGGACCGACACUGACGCUGAGGCGCGAAAGCUAGGGGAGCAAACGGGAUUAGAUACCCCAGUAGUCC